Bactrocera oleae (olive fruit fly) is the source of this 115-nucleotide long non-coding RNA. RefSeq lists it as uncharacterized. The record is from RefSeq and is a predicted model, not a curated record. Lineage: Eukaryota; Metazoa; Arthropoda; Insecta; Diptera; Tephritidae.
AUCUAUGGGGAAGCACGGACAUUAAUGAAAGGGGUAAAUCUAUCAAAGUUUGGCUGACAUCACCGGUAUUCCUUCUUUUGCGAGCGUAUAAAUAUGGAAGUGGAUAAAAUCAAAA